GUGUUGAAGCACGGGUCAUCGUAGAAGUCAUCGGCGGCUGUGAAGGAGCAGAGGGAGCCCUCCGUCAUCUCCAUGGGGCCAACAGCCCGCCCUGCCGCCGCGCCAGGGAGAGCGGCCGCCCCGAUGCCCGAAGGUGCUGGGUGCCGCUGGCCUCUCGCCCGGGGGGACAGCGGCGCGCCCCGCUGUCCCCGCACACACCGGUGUGAGUUUCUUCCUCACAGGGAAACAGCUCCCAGCCCCUGGACAGAUCUGUCCGCGGCUCCGCGGCCACAAGGGUAAUUACUGCGGGGGCUCCAGGGGACACCGCGGGCAGCCGGGACCGUGCGGCACGGCGGAGAAGCGGGGACACCAGGGAGAGCCAGGAGUUAUAAAUGUUGGCGAAAUUUCAGCUUGUUCAAAAUGAGCAGCAAAGCUCUGUCUUCAGUGGGACAAGGGGCUGACUGACAUAAUCGCAAAAGGAUGUGAUUGUAAAGUAAGCUGGGAAGGCAGAAGCAGAUUGUACUUCCUACACUGAGAAACAUGGAUAGACUCAUCCUAUGCACACCUGACAGAGGAUAGAGGCUGGGGAAACAGCUGAUUGUGAGUUUAUCUGGAAUUAACAGAAUUGUCUUUAGAGGCAGAGGGCUCAGAACAUGUUCUGGCAAAGGAAAAGGGAGAGAAAAAGACUUAAAUUCUUAGAGUGUGUGGAUACAUUUGGUUAGAAGAUGAACAUGAGAAGUCUGAGAAACAGACAUGGCACUACUUCAUGGAAAAAUUAGAGGCAACUUAACUGCUAUGAUGGACAAAAGAGGAGCAUUCUGCAUUAACUAAUUUGGUAGAGGAGAAGCAGCCUCUUGGUCUUAAACAAAUGAGCUUCUCUCUCUUCCAGAGCUUGAUGCAGGAAGAACUUCGAAAUAUUUGGUAGAGCCACAUGUGACUGAUCAAAAUAUUCACCCUAAGGACAAAAAACAAGAGUGUUAAGAUCUGCCAGAUAUGGGACUCACCUGCAGCAGAAUGUGGCUUUAACAGAACUUGGGAGAUCCUUCCAAUGGAAGGUAUUUUGUUUACAUAGCACAAUCACUUUGGAGACCUUGAUCUGACUUCUACAAUAAAUGAACUAGAUUCUUUUGGCUGCACUUUGUGAUCUGGAGUUGGUACUGUUUAUUCUUUCACCACAGGAGCAGAAUUUGGAGAUGGACAGCCUCUGUUGCUUCUCAUUUGGGAGCUGCUCUGGGGCUUUGGUGUACAGGGCACAUCCUGCAUGAGUACCACCAGCCCUCACCCUCCUGCUGGUCUCUAGGUGCCUGUCCUUUCUUCUCUUUCUGCCUGGGAGCUCUCUCCCACUGCUACACAGCCACAGUGCUCAGACAGCCUCAUCCUCUCCCUUUGCUCCAUUCUCCCUUCCCUGGACCUGGGGGAAAAUUCUGUGCUAAGAGGAGAUUUGGGGUCUGUGUGUAGCUCUGCAGUCAAGCCUAGAAGAUUGUCUUUUUGCAGAGCAUUUGUUGAAUUUUGAAUUGAACAUUCUCCUGAUUUCACUGGAAUUAAAAGGUAGAACUCAGAGUAUGUUUGGCUCCUGUCACUUAAAGCAAUCAGCACCGUUAACUGGUAAUCUUGGGACCCCUGGCUUGAGCAAGUGCAUGACAAUUCUUAGGAUGCCUGUGCUGAAAGUCUUCUCUUAGUGGACCUUGAUGGGGUUUGGUUUCAUUUGCUCCAGAAUGGAUUGCCCUUGUUGCUGUUGCUGCAGGCUCAUGAUCUGGACCCAGCCCUAGGACUCAAGCAGGACUGAAGGACACAUGGAUGCGGAUUUGCCUCUCCCCGAGGUGCUGCUGGCUGGGUCACUGCCUGCUGGAGGGGGUCUCUAAUACCUGACUUAACCUGAAGCAUGCACUUCCUCAGGAGGUCUGCAGCAGGGCUGGAGGACUGCAAACACUGCAUCCCUUCCCUCCUGUCAGCUGCUGCCACAUGACUGCAGUGCCCGUGCUGUGCUCUCAGCUCCCUCCCCCUGAAAUGUUCACCCUGGUGGUUUGUAAGGAGCUGCCUUGGAGCAGGCUUUGCUUUUGGUAGCAGUAUCCCUUGUUGCCAUGUCAUUCAUGAAGAAGAUGACUUUAUCCUUGCCUUUAUUCCACUGGGACCAGCUGCUCUACCCACAGGCACCAAAAGUGACAAAUCUGCCAUAACCUUUUUUAAUUUUCAAUUGAAACUCUACAUCACGUGAACUUCUUGGGGGUUUUUUGGGAGGUAAAGACAAUUUUUUUCUUUUUUUUUUUCUUU
This is a long non-coding RNA of Melospiza georgiana, 2250 nucleotides long. RefSeq lists it as uncharacterized. The transcript has 12 exons. Lineage: Eukaryota; Metazoa; Chordata; Aves; Passeriformes; Passerellidae. The record is from RefSeq and is a predicted model, not a curated record.